UGCAAGUCGAGCGGAUGAAGAGAGCUUGCUCUCUGAUUUAGCGGCGGACGGGUGAGUAAUGCCUAGGAAUCUGCCUGGUAGUGGGGGAUAACGUUCCGAAAGGAACGCUAAUACCGCAUGCGUCCUACGGGAGAAAGCAGGGGACCUUCGGGCCUUGCGCUAUCAGAUGAGCCUAGGUCGGAUUAGCUAGUUGGUGAGGUAAUGGCUCACCAAGGCGACGAUCCGUAACUGGUCUGAGAGGAUGAUCAGUCACACUGGAACUGAGACACGGUCCAGACUCCUACGGGAGGCAGCAGUGGGGAAUAUUGGACAAUGGGCGAAAGCCUGAUCCAGCCAUGCCGCGUGUGUGAAGAAGGUCUUCGGAUUGUAAAGCACUUUAAGUUGGGAGGAAGGGUUGUAGAUUAAUACUCUGCAAUUUUGACGUUACCAACAGAAUAAGCACCGGCUAACUUCGUGCCAGCAGCCGCGGUAAUACGAAGGGUGCAAGCGUUAAUCGGAAUUACUGGGCGUAAAGCGCGCGUAGGUGGUUCGUUAAGUUGGAUGUGAAAGCCCCGGGCUCAACCUGGGAACUGCAUCCAAAACUGGCGAGCUAGAGUACGGUAGAGGGUAGUGGAAUUUCCUGUGUAGCGGUGAAAUGCGUAGAUAUAGGAAGGAACACCAGUGGCGAAGGCGACUACCUGGACUGAUACUGACACUGAGGUGCGAAAGCGUGGGGAGCAAACAGGAUUAGAUACCCUGGUAGUCCACGCCGUAAACGAUGUCAACUAG
This 768-nucleotide ribosomal RNA is filed under the name Ectopseudomonas mendocina. Its description in RNAcentral is "bacterial SSU rRNA". It matches the Rfam family "Bacterial small subunit ribosomal RNA", at positions 56 to 819 of the family's 1533-position model. Lineage: Bacteria; Pseudomonadati; Pseudomonadota; Gammaproteobacteria; Pseudomonadales; Pseudomonadaceae. The record is from RNAcentral.